Molecule: ribosomal RNA, 722 nt
Filed under: Acinetobacter baumannii
Lineage: Bacteria; Pseudomonadati; Pseudomonadota; Gammaproteobacteria; Moraxellales; Moraxellaceae
Description: bacterial LSU rRNA
Rfam family: Bacterial large subunit ribosomal RNA
Source: RNAcentral
UCUGUCCCGUGAUCCGGGACGAGGACCGUGUCUGGUGGGUAGUUUGACUGGGGCGGUCUCCUCCUAAAGAGUAACGGAGGAGUACGAAGGUGCGCUCAGCGUGGUCGGAAAUCACGCGUAGAGUAUAAAGGCAAAAGCGCGCUUAACUGCGAGACCCACAAGUCGAGCAGGUACGAAAGUAGGUCUUAGUGAUCCGGUGGUUCUGUAUGGAAGGGCCAUCGCUCAACGGAUAAAAGGUACUCUGGGGAUAACAGGCUGAUACCGCCCAAGAGUUCAUAUCGACGGCGGUGUUUGGCACCUCGAUGUCGGCUCAUCUCAUCCUGGGGCUGAAGCAGGUCCCAAGGGUAUGGCUGUUCGCCAUUUAAAGAGGUACGCGAGCUGGGUUUAGAACGUCGUGAGACAGUUCGGUCCCUAUCUACCGUGGGCGCUGGAAAUUUGAGAGGAUCUGCUCCUAGUACGAGAGGACCAGAGUGGACGAACCUCUGGUGUACCGGUUGUGACGCCAGUCGCAUCGCCGGGUAGCUAUGUUCGGAAGGGAUAACCGCUGAAAGCAUCUAAGCGGGAAGCCUACCUCAAGAUAAGAUUUCCCUAGGACUUUAUGUCCUCUAAAGAGCCGUUCGAGACUAGGACGUUGAUAGGUUGGAUGUGGAAGCAUAGUGAUAUGUGAAGCUGACCAAUACUAAUUGCUCGUGAGGCUUGACUAUACAACACCCAAGCAGUUG